This 468-nucleotide ribosomal RNA is filed under the name uncultured bacterium. RNAcentral describes it as "partial 16S ribosomal RNA". It matches the Rfam family "Bacterial small subunit ribosomal RNA", at positions 28 to 507 of the family's 1533-position model. The record is from RNAcentral.
GACGAACGCUGGCGGCGUGCUUAACACAUGCAAGUCGAACGGAAAGGCCCUGCUUUUGUGGGGUGCUCGAGUGGCGAACGGGUGAGUAACACGUGAGUAACCUGCCCUUGACUUUGGGAUAACUUCAGGAAACUGGGGCUAAUACCGGAUAGGAGCUCCUGCUGCAUGGUGGGGGUUGGAAAGUUUCGGCGGUUGGGGAUGGACUCGCGGCUUAUCAGCUUGUUGGUGGGGUAGUGGCUUACCAAGGCUUUGACGGGUAGCCGGCCUGAGAGGGUUACCGGCCACAUUGCGACUGAGCUACGGCCCAGAACCCUACGGGAGGCAGCAGUGGGGAAUAUUGCACGAUGGGAGGAAGCCUGAUGCAGCAACGCCGCGUGCGGGAUGACGGCCUUCGGGUUGUAAACCGCUUUCGCCUGUGACGAAGUGUGAGUGACGGUAAUGGGUAAAGAAGCACCGGCUAACUCCGUG